Molecule: signal recognition particle RNA, 100 nt
Filed under: Proteus penneri ATCC 35198
Lineage: Bacteria; Pseudomonadati; Pseudomonadota; Gammaproteobacteria; Enterobacterales; Morganellaceae
Description: Bacterial signal recognition particle RNA
Rfam family: Bacterial small signal recognition particle RNA
About the family: The signal recognition particle (SRP) is a universally conserved ribonucleoprotein involved in the co-translational targeting of proteins to membranes. Archaeal SRP consists of a 7S RNA and homologues of the eukaryotic SRP19 and SRP54 proteins.
Source: RNAcentral
UUGUUGGUUCUCCCGCAACGCUAACUUGUUAACUCGGUCAGGUCCGGAAGGAAGCAGCCAUGGCAGGUGUCGCGUGUGCCGGGAUGUCGCUGGCAAGGCC